AGGGCUAUAGCUCAGUUGGUAGAGCACCUCGUUUAAUAAACAGUUUGAUCUGUUUUACCGAGA
Molecule: transfer RNA, 63 nt
Filed under: Allamanda cathartica (golden trumpet)
Lineage: Eukaryota; Viridiplantae; Streptophyta; Magnoliopsida; Gentianales; Apocynaceae
Description: tRNA-Val
Source: RNAcentral